GAUGAACGCUGGCGGCGUGCUUAACACAUGCAAGUCGAACGAAACACCUUAUUUGAUUUUCUUCGGAACUGAAGAUUUGGUGAUUGAGUGGCGGACGGGUGAGUAACGCAUGGGUAACCUGCCCUGUACAGGGGGAUAACAGUCAGAAAUGACUGCUAAUACCGCAUAAGACCACAGCACCGCAUGGUGCAGGGGUAAAAACUCCGGUGGUACAGGAUGGACCCGCGUCUGAUUAGCUGGUUGGUGAGGUAACGGCUCACCAAGGCGACGAUCAGUAGCCGGCUUGAGAGAGUGAACGGCCACAUUGGGACUGAGACACGGCCCAAACUCCUACGGGAGGCAGCAGUGGGGAAUAUUGCACAAUGGGGGAAACCCUGAUGCAGCGACGCCGCGUGAGUGAAGAAGUAUUUCGGUAUGUAAAGCUCUAUCAGCAGGGAAGAAAAUGACGGUACCUGACUAAGAAGCCCCGGCUAACUACGUG
RNAcentral lists this ribosomal RNA (481 nucleotides) under uncultured bacterium. Its description in RNAcentral is "partial 16S ribosomal RNA". It matches the Rfam family "Bacterial small subunit ribosomal RNA", at positions 28 to 507 of the family's 1533-position model. The record is from RNAcentral.